RNAcentral lists this long non-coding RNA (268 nucleotides) under Bos taurus (domestic cattle). RNAcentral's name for it is "long non-coding RNA NONBTAT022420". The record is from RNAcentral. Lineage: Eukaryota; Metazoa; Chordata; Mammalia; Artiodactyla; Bovidae.
CUUUGAUCUGUAGGUCUCUGGUAGUCAAAUUUCUGCAAAUGGCAUUUAAUUUUCAUUUGAAUUCCAUAUAGAUCUGUUCAUUCUUUUUGAAAAACAUUGUCAGUGUUCAGGAAAAAUUUAAACAUUGCAACGUAUUUAUAAUAGGUGAAAGCGCUUUUUAUAUACUUCACUUCCAUCUCAUCUCUCUAAGCAACUGAGCCUCUCGUGGUCCUCUGACUUGAACCUAAGCAUGCUUUGUCUUUAAAUGAGAGACAUUGAUUUACUUGGA